CGGCCUGAGAGGGCGACCGGCCACAUGGGAACUGAGAUACGGCCCAGACUCGAACGGAAGGCAGCAGUGGGGAAAAUGCACAAGGGGCGCAAGCGUGAUGCAGCGACGCCGCGUGAGGGAUGGAGGCCUUCGGGUUGUAAACCUCUUUAUACGGGGAGCAAGCGAGAGUGAGUUUACCCGUUGAAUAAGCACCGGCNAACUACGUGCCAGCAGCCGCGGUAAUACGUAGGGUGCAAGCGUUAUCCGGAAUUAUUGGGCGUAAAGGGCUCGUAGGCGGUUCGUCGCGUCCGGUGUGAAAGUCCAUCGCUUAACGGUGGAUCCGCGCCGGGUACGGGCGGGCUUGAGUGCGGUAGGGGAGACUGGAAUUCCCGGUGUAACGGUGGAAUGUGUAGAUAUCGGGAAGAACACCAAUGGCGAAGGCAGGUCUCUGGGCCGUUACUGACGCUGAGGAGCGAAAGCGUGGGGAGCGAACAGGAUUAGAUACCCUGGUAGUCCACGCCGUAAACGGUGGAUGCUGGAUGUGGGGCCCGUUCCACGGGUUCCGUGUCGGAGCUAACGCGUUAAGCAUCCCGCCUGGGGAGUACGGCCGCAAGGCUAAAACUCAAAGAAAUUGACGGGGGCCCGCACAAGCGGCGGAGCAUGCGGAUUAAUUCGAUGCAACGCGAAGAACCUUACCUGGGCUUGACAUGUUCCCGACGGUCGUAGAGAUACGGCUUCCCUUCGGGGCGGGUUCACAGGUGGUGCAUGGUCGUCGUCAGCUCGUGUCGUGAGAUGUUGGGUUAAGUCCCGCAACGAGCGCAACCCUCGCCCCGUGUUGCCAGCGGAUUAUGCCGGGAACUCACGGGGGACCGCCGGGGUUAACUCGGAGGAAGGUGGGGAUGACGUCAGAUCAUCAUGCCCCUUACGUCCAGGGCUUCACGCAUGCUACAAUGGCCGGUACAACGGGAUGCGACGCGGCGACGCGGACGAUUCACCCGGGAAGAUCUGCUACGACGCGCGCCUCUNNNGGUUUCUUUUUUGCGAAAAAAAAA
RNAcentral lists this ribosomal RNA (1031 nucleotides) under human gut metagenome. Its description in RNAcentral is "bacterial SSU rRNA". It matches the Rfam family "Bacterial small subunit ribosomal RNA", at positions 288 to 1325 of the family's 1533-position model. The record is from RNAcentral.